AAUUACUCCACCGAAGCUGGAUGCAGCCAAAGAUGCUCCCGGUGCGACUCCACUUCCCCCAACAAGAUAUCCAACUGGAGAAGAUGCCAGCAGGCAACCUAGAAGAACUGCUUCUACACCAACCGAGAAAGCAGUUCGCGGUGGCAGAGAUGACUUUACAGAAUCUAAGAGUGUUGAUUCCACACCAUCCAGAGAGCAACCUUCAGAUGUUCGGCGAGCUGCUGCUUCCCUCCCAAAGCAAGAAGCAGCUGAUUCUCGUAGCACACCUUUGCCAUUCCAAAGGAGGUACCCUGAUGUGGAACACACCACCAAAGAACCAAGAGAUAAGCCAAAGGAAUCGGUGGGCGAGGAUGCCCAAGAUAGCUUUGAAGAAACAAAGGCUCUUGACUCUUCGAUGUUUAGAGGCAGAGCACAACCGCAAGAUACUCGUCCAUCUGCAAUUACUCCAUCAAAGCUGGAAGAUGUCAGAGAUGCUCUAGGUGCAACCCCACUUCCCCCGAGAAGAUAUCCAACUGCAGAGGACACCAGCAGGCAACCCACAAGAACUGCUUCUACACCAAUAGAGAAAGCAGUUCCAGAUGGUAGAGAUGCCAUCAGAGAAUUGAAGAUUGUUGAUUCCACAUCAUCCAGAGAGCAACCUUCAGAUGUUCGGCGAGCUCCUGCUUCCCUUCCAAAGCAAGAAGCAGCUGAUUCUUAUAGCACAACAGUGCCAUUCCAAAGGAGCUAUCCUGAUAAUGAAGACACCAAAGAACCAAGAGAUAAGCCAAAGGAAAAGGUGAGCGGGGAGGCUCAAGAUGGCUUUGAUGAAACAAAGGCUCUUGACUCUUCGAUACUUAGAGGCAGAGCACAACCCCAAGAUACUCAGCGAGCUGCAAUUACUCCACCGAAGCUGGAUGCAGCCAAAGAUGCUCCCGGUGCGACUCCACUUCCCCCAACAAGAUAUCCAACUGGAGAAGAUGCCAGCAGGCAACCUAGAAGAACUGCUUCUACACCAACCGAGAAAGCAGUUCGCGGUGGCAGAGAUGACUCUACAGAAUCUAGGAGUGUUGAUUCCACACCAUCCAGAGAGCAACCUUCAGAUGUUCGGCGAGCUGCUGCUUCCCUCCCAAAGCAAGAAGCAGCUGAUUCUCGUAGCACACCUUUGCCAUUCCAAAGGAGGUACCCUGAUACUAGAGACACCACAAAAGAAUCAAGAGAUAAGCUAAAGGAAGCGGUGGGCGAGGAUGGUCAAGAUGGCUUUGAAGAAACAAAAGCUCUUGACUCUGCUAUAAUUGGAGGCAGAGCCCAACCACAAGAGACUCCAAGAGCUGCGGUUACUCCAUCAAAGCUGGAAGGAGCCAAAGAUGCUCUAGGUGUGACUCCAAUUGCCCCAACAAGGUAUCCAACUGCAGAAGACACGAGCAAGCAAUCCACAAGAACUGCUUCUACACCUUCAGAGAAAGCAGUUCCAUAUGGUAGAGAUGCCUUCAUAGAAUCGAAGAGUGUUGAUUCCACAUCAUCCAGAGAGCAACCUUCAGAUGUUCGGCGAGCUGCUGCUUCCCUGCCAAAGCAAGAAGCUGCUGAUUCUCGUAGCACAACUAUGCCAUUCCAAAGGAGGUACCGUGAU
RNAcentral lists this long non-coding RNA (1606 nucleotides) under Oryza sativa (Asian cultivated rice). RNAcentral's name for it is "long non-coding RNA (OSAT_LNC001705)". Lineage: Eukaryota; Viridiplantae; Streptophyta; Magnoliopsida; Poales; Poaceae. The record is from RNAcentral.